GGAUGAGUCACACAGGAGGCUUCAUGAUUCACUCAGAGCUCACAUGCAGACAGCUCUGACAAUGUCAACUGAAGAGAAGACACCCAGGAGAGUAAAGCUUGCGUCCUGCUACCCUUUGGUGACCUUCGUGACCUGGCCAAAGUCUACUUCCCAGACUUCUGACUAUGGAAAGAUGGGGUAGAUGUGUUGUGCUUCUCUAGUUUGGACACCACUGGGUGCAGACGUAAGACCCAACACAAGCCUGCUGGCUCCAGCUAAUGCACCAUCAAAGCAGUAGCCACCUUCCAAGACCAAGGUACUCUAGAUAGAAACUGUUCUAUUCCAGUCAAAUAUCAAAUAAAAGUCUAAAGUCCAUAAGGCCAACAACAGUACGACAGUAUGUUUACCCUCUCUAGGUUGUAACAUGGCAUCUAACCACACUUGCAUUCAGUGUGGUUCCCAAGGAACGCACUAAAGGGAGUUCAGACAUCUGUACCUCUGUUAUCUAAAAAGAGGGCAAGUCUCCAACACUCUGAGUUCCCACAUCAAAAAUCUAUGAAGGCAAAAGAAAAAAAUAACCUGAGGAAACUGAAGAAAGAAAACAGUAUAGAUAAGAACGUAUAUCAGUGACACUGAAAACUUAAAAGCAAUAGAGAAAAUCGGACUCUCAGAGAGGGUCAACAAAAUGGGCAGACAUCUAGCAGGACUGACAGAAGUGGGAAGACACCGACCAGCAACAUCAAAGAUGGAACGGGUACUGCUCCAGAGCUCAGACAUGAAAAGGACAAGAGGAGUCACCACAGUCAACACCCCACACUCACCCAGAAUGUCAGGCAUUUCUACUAUGUAUUCGAGGCUAGCUCAUUGUGUGAAAAUCAAUCAGCAUAAUCCACAGCAAAAAUUAAAGAACAACUACAUAGCCAUUUUAAUUUAUUUGUGUGUGUGUGUGUGUGUGUGUGUGUGUGUGUGUAGACAGACACAUACACAUGAACACAUGCAUACAUACAUGCACAUGCCCACAUAAGCCAGAAGGCAGCACCGGUUUCUCUAGAACUGGAGUUUCAGGCUGUUGGGAGCCAUCUGACGUGUGUGCCAGGAUAUCAGCAGGGAUAUAGCAUGUUCUUAAUUGGACAAUUUGACUUAAUAAAGAUAUGGGUCUAAGUCCCUAAUGCCAGCUUAGAAAAACCAUGUCUAUGGGCUUCCCACAGCUCCCUCCCUGUUCCUCCUCUUCAGGGAUGCUCCCCUGGCUUUUUGGGAGUCAGAGAAUUCUCUUUUUUAUUUCUGUAUCUAAUUGCCUGUGCCCUACCACAUCAGGUGUCGAGAUAUCUGAGGUAACAAUGUCAGCACAUUGUCAUCAGGUCAGAGGUCACCACAUCAGGGGUCACCAAGUUCCUGAGGGGGAGAGCACUAUGGAAACCAUUUCCAAGGACAUAGCAGAAAAGAGAGACGCUCGCUCUGUAAGAGGCAGAGGAUUUUUUCCCCUUAGAAGUACUUUAAAAGGAAAAUUUUGUGUUUUUACUUACAUUUUAUAUUUUGCGCAUAUUGUUAGGAUUUAUGUGUUCCCUGACUCUCACAAAGCUUCAGGCAUUUUAAAAAAUGAUGUUGGGUGAUCAAACAUGCCUCGGAACACCACAACCUCACCUUUUCAUCUACUUUGCUGUACCAUAGGGCAGGUAGCAUCCCAAGAUUGUUAAGAGGGACCAAAGGAGGAUACAAGAUCGCUUUGUAUUUCUCUCUCUCUCUCUCUCUCUCUCUCUCUCUCUCUCUCUCUCUCUCUUUGUCUAUGAUGUUUGAUGGAUGUGUGAAAUAAUGUCCAGCAUUAAACAAGACUUUUGAUUUU
RNAcentral lists this long non-coding RNA (1819 nucleotides) under Mus caroli (Ryukyu mouse). Its description in RNAcentral is "lncRNA (MGP_CAROLIEiJ_G0005693.1)". Lineage: Eukaryota; Metazoa; Chordata; Mammalia; Rodentia; Muridae. The record is from RNAcentral.